Molecule: unclassified non-coding RNA, 685 nt
Filed under: uncultured Prochlorococcus sp.
Lineage: Bacteria; Bacillati; Cyanobacteriota; Cyanophyceae; Synechococcales; Prochlorococcaceae
Description: partial may contain 16S ribosomal RNA, 16S-23S ribosomal RNA intergenic spacer, and 23S ribosomal RNA
Rfam family: Bacterial small subunit ribosomal RNA (bases 1-97)
Source: RNAcentral
ACCCUUGUGGAGGAGGACGCCGAAGGUGGGGCUAAUGACUGGGGUGAAGUCGUAACAAGGUAGCCGUACCGGAAGGUGCGGCUGGAUCACCUCCUAACAGGGAGACAACAAAAUGUUUAAUAUUAUUAUUUUGUCACCUUAGGUCGAUCGGUAUCUCACAUUCUUAUUUUUAAGGAUUUUAUUUCCUAAGUUUUUCUAGGUCACACCCAUUUUUUUCCUGGGCCAUUAGCUCAGGUGGUUAGAGCGCACCCCUGAUAAGGGUGAGGUCCCUGGUUCAAGUCCAGGAUGGCCCAUAUCUCUAUGUUGGGGGUAUAGCUCAGUUGGUAGAGCGCCUGCUUUGCAAGCAGGAUGUCAGCGGUUCGAGUCCGCUUACCUCCACUGAUUACCACCUCUUACGUAAUCUGUAUGAAGGAAAAUUUUGAGUUGUGAUCAAUUUCUGAACGAAUCUAGCUUCCUAAUGAAAUCAUUAAGAUGCUGGACUCAUUGAAUUAAUUUCAUUGUUUUCAGAGAACCUUGACAACUGCAUAGAUUAUUUUUUUAAAGACAAUAAGCAUCUUUAAUGAUGCAGAUUUAUUAUUUGUGCGAAUGCAUUAAUAACAAUUCUAUUAAGCUGAUGCUUCAAUUUUUGAAGUUAUUGGUCAAGCUACAAAGGGCUCACGGAGGAUACCUAGGCACACAGAGGCGA